This 31-nucleotide ribosomal RNA is filed under the name Dirofilaria immitis (dog heartworm nematode). RNAcentral describes it as "partial 18S ribosomal RNA". The record is from RNAcentral. Lineage: Eukaryota; Metazoa; Nematoda; Chromadorea; Rhabditida; Onchocercidae.
GGUGAACCUGCGGAAGGAUCAUUAUCUAAAA